AGCGAACGCUGGCGGCAGGCUUAACACAUGCAAGUCGAGCGGGCGUAGCAAUACGUCAGCGGCAGACGGGUGAGUAACGCGUGGGAACGUACCUUUUGGUUCGGAACAACACAGGGAAACUUGUGCUAAUACCGGAUAAGCCCUUACGGGGAAAGAUUUAUCGCCGAAAGAUCGGCCCGCGUCUGAUUAGCUAGUUGGUGAGGUAACGGCUCACCAAGGCGACGAUCAGUAGCUGGUCUGAGAGGAUGAUCAGCCACAUUGGGACUGAGACACGGCCCAGACUCCUACGGGAGGCAGCAGUGGGGAAUAUUGGACAAUGGGGGAAACCCUGAUCCAGCGACGCCGCGUGUGUGAAGAAGGCCUGCGGGUUGUAAAGCAC
RNAcentral lists this ribosomal RNA (379 nucleotides) under uncultured bacterium. RNAcentral describes it as "bacterial SSU rRNA". It matches the Rfam family "Bacterial small subunit ribosomal RNA", at positions 29 to 433 of the family's 1533-position model. The record is from RNAcentral.